This is a non-coding RNA of Anas platyrhynchos (mallard), 1124 nucleotides long. NCBI's taxonomy places the organism in Eukaryota, Metazoa, Chordata, Aves, Anseriformes, Anatidae. The record is from RefSeq and is a predicted model, not a curated record.
UGGAAGGUUGGGAUGCAGCUCUCUGGAUGAGGAGCUAUUUUAAAUCCAGGGGAGCAGCACGUCAGGGGCAUGUCACAGCUCUCGUGUCCCUACACCUCCAGCACUGGAGCUCACGGGGCGGACGACACUGUUGGGGAUGAUCUUUCCUUGGGCUCAGGGCGAGAGAGAUUUCCUUUUGGCUCUGGUUGCCCCUUGAAGAGUGGGGUGAGCAAUAGCAGAACGGGUAAGGAUUACUAUAUAAUAAUAAAAAAAAAAAAGAGAUGGUUCUGCUAUACAGCAAAAAAAUCCCUCCCAACCUUGCCAGCUCAGCAGGGAAAAGCAUGAGAAGCAUCGGGUGCUCAGCCCGGAGGGGGAGCUGGCUUGUCUCUUCGCAUUCACAGGACACAAUCCCCUCUAGCAGAUGUCCUCAUAAAGCCUGGGUGGGCAGCCACGGCCGGGCAAUGUCACAUCCAGAAAAUACAGCGCUCUGCCUGCGCCUUGCCCUUCGCGGCCGCCAGGGCCAGCGCACAGCUGUUUGCAGCAUGAUAAGAUCUCCAAGCUGACAGAUUAGCUGACUGUGACUUUGGCAGGACCAGCUCCAGCCCGUGGGGGAAAGGGCCAACUUGGGCAAUGCCUCGCAUCACCUUUCAGGAAAGGGUGCAGCUCCUUUCCAGAGGCAAACAAUGGCCGUGACCUGCCCAGGCGCCCUGUUUCCUCCUUCUGUGGGCAGCCCUGGUGUGUGACCCCAAGCUGGGUGCGGUGUGAGGAGGGUGGUGGGGAGCCCGGGACGUGUUUGCCUCCACGUGUCCCCCAGCUCCCCUGUGCUGGCACUGUCCCCAUGGCCCUGCUCUUCUCUAAGCUGUGCAGAGGAAAAGGAUCUGGGGGUGUUGUUGGUCAAUGCCUGCCUGAACGUGAGCCAGGAGUGUGCCCAGGGGGCCAGGAAGGCCGAUGGCACCCUGGUUGUGUCAGGAAUAGUGCAGGCAGUAGGAGCAGGGAGGGGAUCGUCCCCCUGGGCUCUGCUCUGGCGAGGCUGCACCUUGAGUGCUGGGUUCAGCUUUGGGCCCCUCACUACAAGAAGGGCAUCGAGGCCCUGGAACAUGUCCAGAGCGGGUCUACGAAGCUGCGACACGAGUCCUGUGAGGAGC